This 68-nucleotide transfer RNA is filed under the name Tropiocolotes tripolitanus. Its description in RNAcentral is "tRNA-Pro". The record is from RNAcentral. Lineage: Eukaryota; Metazoa; Chordata; Lepidosauria; Squamata; Gekkonidae.
CAAAAAAUAGUUUAAUUUAAAAUACUGGUUUUGGGGACCAGUGAUGGAAGCGGUGCUUCUUUUUUUGA